Molecule: non-coding RNA, 18 nt
Filed under: Aspergillus sp.
Lineage: Eukaryota; Fungi; Ascomycota; Eurotiomycetes; Eurotiales; Aspergillaceae
Also listed under: 102 other names
Source: RNAcentral
UUGACCUCGGAUCAGGUA